UAUAUAUAUAUAUACAAAAUAUAGAAUAGAGUGGGCAAUAUUAUAAAAAAUUGUUACAUCACACCACACACAUUUGCGUAUGGACGAUGGAGAGGUGUUUUAUAUUUGUAAAAUCGGGAGAAGAGAGAGAGAAGAAUCUUAUUUUUAUUAUAUCAUUAUUGGAGAUUAUAAAUAAAAGUUAUUUACUAGUAUUCAAUAUGGAGAUAUCACAAAAAUAUUAAAUAUGCUAGUUCUUAUGCAUUGCACAAAAAAAGAGAGAUUGGCAGGGGGAAGGAUAAAGAAUGAUAGAGAUGAGGGUUAGAUAGGAGGGGAUGGAAAAAGAGGACAAUAAAAAAAUUGUUUAAAAAUAUGUUCAAAAUAUUAACCUUUAAGAAGGUAAAGUAUCUCAAACGAUUCUGUUUAUCCAUUGUGCUUCUCCCAAAAUAUCUUGCACAUUACGAUAUUACAGUAUAUUACAGAAAAAUAUUAUAGCUAAAAUUUUUAGCGCAAUAUAUUAUUUCUAUUAGUAACAUUUCAUUGUAUUUUCAUGUUUUUAAGCCAAUAUUUGUUUAUUUAAAUAUAGCGAUUAUUAUUCCACAUUCCCCUUUUUCAAAAAACUAAAUUAAAAGAUUAUUGAUGUUAAAACUUAAUGUGUUUAUAAGAAAACAAGAAGUAAAAACUUGAAUCUAUAUUAUGCACGUCGUUUUUGCCAAAUAAAAGGGAUUUCCAGUUACACAUUUAUGGUAUAUAUAUUAAUGUUAAUACUUGAUGUAAUAUAUGUGACAAUGUAAAAUGGACAAAAUAAACAUAUAUUUAUAUAGCUAUUCAUAUAGAAUAUGUAGUCUUUUUUUACAUAUUUAUAUGCUGUAUGUAUAACAACAUUUGCUCAUUAUAGCAUGUAUGCAUAUUAUAUUCUUACUAAUCUGUAUAUGUGUUUAUAUAUGUUGUGUGUUCAUGAAUGUACUGUUUGAAUUAUAUAAAAGCGAAAAUAGUGUAGCAACAAUCAGAGAAACAAUAUUAUUUUAACUAAUUAUAAAACACUCAUUAUAUUUUUUAUCAGAUUCUGCUUGAUACUAAGACAUUGUUUUAAUGCGCGAGAAUAUAAAUGGCAAUUGAUUAAUCUUAAUGCAUAUUUAUAUAGGAACUGACAAAUCCUUGAAAAAUUAUACAAAAAAGAUAUAGUGUACAAGAAAGUAUUGUAUUCCUAUACAUUCUUUACAAGUAUGUUUCGUCUUGAUGUGUAAAUUCUCUUGAAUGUAUAUUAUACAUGAAUUGAUCUUACAAUAUAUUAUUUAUAUAGAAUAAUUCAUAUAUAUUCAAUGCACAUAAUAAAAAUACAAGGCAAUUUUGUGAAACCAUGAAAAGCAAAUUCUAGUGUAAAUUAUUGUAAAAAUUAUCAACAUACAAAGAGACCGAGUUUAUAAAUACGCACAUACAUAUAUAUGUGUGUGGUGUAUGUAUAUAUGUAUCAUAUAUAUACAUAUAUAAAGUUUUUUGAACUAGCAUAUAUGUCAAUAAUAUUUAUAGGCUUUGUGCCAAGUGUUAAGGUGCUUGUGAAUUUGCGCGCGAUAACUAACGGACUUUACCGUAAAUUCUGCUUUUACUUUUAUUUAAAUCAAUUUCUUUUUAUUAAUAGAAAAACGUUGUAUAGUAGUUAUAAUACACGUAUACGUACGUAUAGCAAAUUUUUAUUUUGCGACGCGUUUCCAGAUCGAUGAUUUUUCGAAAGAUUCUCAUUCUCAUUGAAUAAAAACGAUGGUAGUAUGCGCUGGAUGCACAGAGCAGGUAUUCACAAAGCACAAAGAAUACUUGGCUAUAACAAACAUUUUAUUCAACUAUUGUGGUAUCAGAUAUAAACGAACAUUUUUUUUAUCAUUGUUAAAAGUACUAAACUGAAUGGCCUAAGGUAUAAGUAUGACUGUGUAUAUGUUCAUUUGUGUGUCUGUGUACAUGAGUGUAUGUGAAUGCAAAUAGGUGGCUUACUUAAAAUCUCCACCACUGCACAUAUUGUGUAACCACAAA
Molecule: long non-coding RNA, 2001 nt
Organism: Formica exsecta
Lineage: Eukaryota; Metazoa; Arthropoda; Insecta; Hymenoptera; Formicidae
Exons: 2
Source: RefSeq, a predicted model, not a curated record